GGGUUUCCUAAGCAGUCCUGCAGGGGUUUUCAUCCACAUGUCAGUGUUGGACAUACCAGGACAGCUCUCCUGUUUUCUUCAAGAGAACCUGAAGUCAAAAAGCUGUUGUCCUGUGAAGCUGGUGCUGCUCCAUGGUCAGUCUCAUCGGGAAAGGUGUACUGAGGUUCCACCAACCACAACCAUCUCCCGUGUGCUAGAUAGGGAAUAUCUCCUCGCAGUCCGCGAGCCAGUAGCCAGUGAGUGCGAGAGAGAUGGUAAAUACAGUGCAUGGGAACGUGCAACACACUAGAGAAGCUCAAGUCAACAAGAUCAAUUGAGCCAUAGACUACGACACGGAAGAGGAGCUCACUGGCCCUGUGUCGCAUUAAAUCACACCUUACAUUGCCAGACUGUAAGAAGACAUCAACCUUUUUCUGUGAGUAAUGCGAAUUUGGAGAAACUUGGACUGAGCGCAUUUUUUUCACUCACCUGGGAUAUCAUUUAAAAAAUCGACUGCGCAUUGCCCUGAAAUUGCUGAAAAUGAAACCUUUGCCUUUGACACUUAUAUCAUUGACCAACCAUCAAAUGACUUUAAUGAGGUACAGGCAAAAAGUGGUUCAAUUAACAACGGUCGGGAAGAGUAUGUAGAAGCUGAGUCUCUGGAACAUAAAAUUGCAUCUCUUUUUGAUGGUGAUGAAUGUUGAAAUUGGUCAUCAGAUGUACAUGUACACUAUUUUAAAUGCCUGUUUUAAAAGUUUACACUGGACUUGCAUGAUUCCAUCUUGAAUGAUACAGUCAUGUGUUUCUUUAAUGUUUGUUGAAAAUAAACAUGGAAAUUGAAGCGGU
This is a long non-coding RNA of Micropterus dolomieu (smallmouth bass), 825 nucleotides long. RefSeq lists it as uncharacterized. The transcript is spliced from 4 exons. NCBI's taxonomy places the organism in Eukaryota, Metazoa, Chordata, Actinopteri, Centrarchiformes, Centrarchidae. The record is from RefSeq and is a predicted model, not a curated record.